AGCAGCCGCGGUAAUUCCAGCUCCAAUAGCGUAUAUUAAAGUUGUUGCAGUUAAAAAGCUCGUAGUUGAAUUUCGGGGUCAGUAGGUUGGUCGUGCCACAGGUAUGUACUGGCCUCACUGAUUCCUCCUUCUUGUAGAACCGUAAUGCCAUUAAUUUGGUGUUGCGGGGAAACAGGACUGUUACUUUGAAAAAAUUAGAGUGUUUAAAGCAGGCUAACGCUUGAAUACAUUAGCAUGGAAUAAUGAAAUAGGACGUUCGAUCCUAUUUUGUUGGUUUCUAGGAUUGACGUAAUGAUUAAUAGGGAUAGUUGGGGGCAUUAGUAUUCAAUUGUCAGAGGUGAAAUUCUUGGAUUUAUUGAAGACUAACUACUGCGAAAGCAUUUGCCAAGGAUGUUUUCAUUAAUCAAGAACGAAAGUUAGGGGAUCGAAGACGAUCAGAUACCGUCGUAGUCUUAACCAUAAACUAUGCCGACUAGGGAUCGGAUGAUGUUAAUUUUUAAUGACUCAUUCGGCGCCUUAC
RNAcentral lists this ribosomal RNA (520 nucleotides) under uncultured Glomus. Its description in RNAcentral is "SSU rRNA". It matches the Rfam family "Eukaryotic small subunit ribosomal RNA", at positions 569 to 1091 of the family's 1831-position model. Lineage: Eukaryota; Fungi; Glomeromycota; Glomeromycetes; Glomerales; Glomeraceae. The record is from RNAcentral.